UUAGGAUCAGCGUCGAGGGAUAUGACAUGUCCUUCGAGCACCUGAUCUCUACAUUUCCUUGGAGAACCACUUCAGCUCCUGUGGAACAGUGGAGUUCGUGGAGGUGCCGAGAGAUCCGGUGACCAAGGCCAUUAGCGGCAGGAGUAGCACUGUGGCUCUCCGCGGGGAAGGUGCAGAAGAGAAGGCCUUGGCACUCAACGGAAGUGACUUGGGAGGAUGGAGAGCGUCAGUCAAGAUCUUACCACCAGCGCUAGCUAGUCUGAGAUCUGGCUUGACUACUCGUGAAGCGGCACGUCAAUACAUCGCCCACUUUAAACGAAACAAGAGCCUAGGCAUUACUGUUAAAGGAUGUGACCAUUCGCUCUGUGAAGCUGACGCCAAGAGGGCUUUGGUUAACCAUUUCUCUUCCUGUGGCGAGAUCACUGAUGUUUUUGUUUUCAAAAGACGUGCUUUGGUCUACUUUUUCGGAUUUGGUGCAGUGGAAAAGGCUUUGAAGCUUUGUAAACCAAGUCAAAGACGUGUCACGGGGAAGAGCUUUCGUGUUAAAGCUAUGCCGAUACCGAAACGAUUGUUUGUUCAUGGCCCUAGGGACUGCCUUGAUACUCCUACUUGUUGAAGAUGGUCCUUUUGUUUUAGACAUUAUAAU
Long non-coding RNA from Raphanus sativus (radish), 646 nucleotides. RefSeq lists it as uncharacterized. Lineage: Eukaryota; Viridiplantae; Streptophyta; Magnoliopsida; Brassicales; Brassicaceae. The record is from RefSeq and is a predicted model, not a curated record. The transcript has 3 exons.